RNAcentral lists this non-coding RNA (211 nucleotides) under Pseudomonas rhodesiae. Lineage: Bacteria; Pseudomonadati; Pseudomonadota; Gammaproteobacteria; Pseudomonadales; Pseudomonadaceae. RNAcentral also lists the same sequence under 5 other names. The record is from RNAcentral.
AAACUACAAGGGGAGCCGAAGCUCCCCCAGAAGUAGUUGCGUGCUCUAUUUUUAUUAUUGAUUUCGGGCUUCUUGUUUUUGUUGAUCGCCCUCGCCAUGAAGCUUCACCUUCAUGACACUCCCAAUCGGGAGUCAAGAGCAAACGGAUUGCUUUGGUCGCUGUGUUGCUGAUCUACGAUCCAACCAGUUCAGGCUCUGCCUUAGGGCAGUU